UAGGGAAUAUUGGUAAUCUGGGAAACCGGGAACCAGCAACGCCGCGUGCACGAUGAAGGCCUUCGGGUCGUAAAGUGCUUUUUGAAGGGAUGAGGAAGGACAGUACCUUCAGAAUAAGCCUCGGCUAACUACGUGCCAGCAGCCGCGGUAAAACGUAGGAGGCGAGCGUUAUCCGGAUUUACUGGGCGUAAAGCGUGUGUAGGCGGUUUGAUAAGUUGGAUGUGAAAGCUCCCGGCUCAACUGGGAGAGGUCGUUCAAAACUAUCAGACUAGAGAGUGGUAGAGGGAGGUGGAAUUCCGCGUGUAGUGGUGAAAUGCGCAGAUAUGCGGAGGAACACCAGUGGCGAAAGCGGCCUCCUGGCCCAUUUCAGACGCUCGGACACGAAAGCUAAGGUAGCAAACGG
RNAcentral lists this ribosomal RNA (403 nucleotides) under uncultured bacterium. RNAcentral's name for it is "bacterial SSU rRNA". It matches the Rfam family "Bacterial small subunit ribosomal RNA", at positions 355 to 775 of the family's 1533-position model. The record is from RNAcentral.